Molecule: non-coding RNA, 21 nt
Filed under: Caenorhabditis elegans
Lineage: Eukaryota; Metazoa; Nematoda; Chromadorea; Rhabditida; Rhabditidae
Source: RNAcentral
UGUUCAUAGUUUUUCAAACUU